UACGGAGGAUGCGAGCGUUAUCCGGAUUCAUUGGGUUUAAAGGGUGCGCAGGCGGGAUCUUAAGUCAGUAGUGAAAUCUAGAGGCUCAACCUCUAAACUGCCAUUGAAACUGGGAUUCUUGAGUAUGGAUGAAGUAGGCGGAACUCGUUGUGUAGCGGUGAAAUGCAUAGAUAUAACGAAGAACCCCGAUUGCGUAGGCAGCUUACUAAACCAUAACUGACGCUCAAGCACGAAAGCGUGGGUAUCAAAC
RNAcentral lists this ribosomal RNA (250 nucleotides) under uncultured bacterium. RNAcentral's name for it is "partial 16S ribosomal RNA". It matches the Rfam family "Bacterial small subunit ribosomal RNA", at positions 524 to 773 of the family's 1533-position model. The record is from RNAcentral.